Hypanus sabinus (Atlantic stingray) is the source of this 432-nucleotide long non-coding RNA. RefSeq lists it as uncharacterized. Lineage: Eukaryota; Metazoa; Chordata; Chondrichthyes; Myliobatiformes; Dasyatidae. The record is from RefSeq and is a predicted model, not a curated record. The transcript is spliced from 3 exons.
GCUUGAGACACAGCAGAUCAAGUCCUCCCCAGCACUGAGGACAUCUUCAAAAGGCUGGAGGAACUCAGCAGGUCAGACUGAAUCCACGAAAAUGGACAGUUGGUGUUUCGGGCUGAGAUCCAUCUUCAGGGAGGGAGCGAUUCGUGCGGAAUGUGGAGAGGCGGAGAGAGAGCCACACACAGCUCCCCAGGAAUGACGUGGAGACAGACAGGGAGAUCAGCUGCCAGCUUUCCCCACUGCCUUUACAGGAAGGUGCAAAGCAGUAACCCUGAAAAGGAUUUAAUUAGUCCGGGAAAGGAGGAAACCCUCAUGAUUGUAACAGCAGCUGCAAGCCAGUAAAUGACCACCACUGAUGUAUUCUCUGUUACCACACAACCAAAGCCACCUGUUCCUUUCCCUCUUCUCUAUUAAAUAAAGCAUGAUGCUUCAUUU